UACCAAUUUGGGCUCCUUCCAGACCCGAAAACUGAUGACACAUAUGAAACAGAUUUCACUACUGGACUGGAACUCCACAUAAAAAAGAAGAAGAUCCUCAAAAUCAUCGAAAAGGGUCCUCACCAAAGAAUAGAUGCAAUGUGACUGGCAGGAUAUGAAGGAGGUUGCAGUGCUCACAAGUGAAGAACAUGGCAUCUAAAGAUGACCCUCUCCAUAAAGCUGGGACCCUAAAGAGCCACACUCUCAUAUGGAAGGCAAUUUCCCAGCCCAGGCUCUGACCCUUACAAGUGAAUAACAUUUUUGCAUGCUCUUUUGGCAAAAUUAUCCCACACGGAGCUGUUGGAAUUACCUUGUGAUGAUUUCAAAGAGCAUUGUCUCCUCUACACACUCUUAUCCCAAGGUAAAUUGAUGGAUUUCUAAUGAAUAAA
Molecule: non-coding RNA, 428 nt
Organism: Delphinapterus leucas (beluga whale)
Lineage: Eukaryota; Metazoa; Chordata; Mammalia; Artiodactyla; Monodontidae
Source: RefSeq, a predicted model, not a curated record